Molecule: non-coding RNA, 190 nt
Organism: Lonchura striata (white-rumped munia)
Lineage: Eukaryota; Metazoa; Chordata; Aves; Passeriformes; Estrildidae
Source: RefSeq, a predicted model, not a curated record
GCUGCGGGCGGGGGCAGCGGACAGCGGAGACCCCCGGUCCGUGCGGAACGGCUCCAAACUCUGGAAACAGCGAGUGCCACUGGAGUUCCUCUUCACUAAAAUUACAGCAUGGGGGUGUCACAGCACGGGAGACAUCACAACUUCAGCCAGAAUGACCAGCAGCGAAUAAAAAGUAGUGAUUUUUCAGUUA